Molecule: microRNA precursor, 167 nt
Filed under: Oryza brachyantha (malo sina)
Lineage: Eukaryota; Viridiplantae; Streptophyta; Magnoliopsida; Poales; Poaceae
Description: MIR812 microRNA precursor family
Rfam family: MIR812 microRNA precursor family
Source: Rfam by way of RNAcentral
UACAAUGUUUUGACUAUUCGUCUUAUUUGAAAUUUUUGUACGACUAAUAUUUUUAUUCUUCCUAGAUGAUAAAACAUGAAUAAUAAUUUAUGCGUGACUAAUUUUUUAAGUUUUUAUAUAAUUUUUUUAAAUAAGACGAAUGGUCAAACGUUGGACACGGAAAAACA